This 311-nucleotide ribosomal RNA is filed under the name uncultured bacterium. Its description in RNAcentral is "bacterial SSU rRNA". It matches the Rfam family "Bacterial small subunit ribosomal RNA", at positions 28 to 334 of the family's 1533-position model. The record is from RNAcentral.
GAUGAACGCUAGCGGCAGGCCUAACACAUGCAAGUCGAGGGGUAACAGAGAGUGCUUGCACUCUGCUGACGACCGGCGCACGGGUGAGUAACGCGUAUAGAACCUACCUUUUACUGGAGAAUAACCAGGAGAAAUUCUGACUAAUACUCCAUAGUAUGUAUAAGUUGCAUAGUUUAUACAUUAAAGAUUUAUUGGUAAAAGAUGGCUAUGCGUCCUAUUAGCUAGAUGGUGUGGUAACGGCACACCAUGGCAACGAUAGGUAGGGGCCCUGAGAGGGGGAUCCCCCACACUGGUACUGAGACACGGACCAG